This 1449-nucleotide long non-coding RNA is filed under the name Equus asinus (donkey). RNAcentral describes it as "lncRNA (ENSEASG00005024729.1)". Lineage: Eukaryota; Metazoa; Chordata; Mammalia; Perissodactyla; Equidae. The record is from RNAcentral.
CUGGGGCGAAGCUGUGAAGAGUGGCAAAGUGCUCUCCUUCAGCCGUCUGGGAGGCGUGAUCGAUUUCAUGGAGGGAGGAAAGAGAAUCCGGAACCGCCCGUCUCCUCUGCGCCGGCAGCGGGCGACUCCGCGAUACCAGCUUUCCUCUUUGGCCUGGGAGUUACUGAUAGGAUCACAACCACAGAAUCUCUCGAUUCUCUCUCCGCACCACCCUCCUCUUCCUUGUUCCCUUACCCCCAUCCUCCUUCAGACUAGUAGACAAGUGGAGAGGGAAGGAAAGGAUGCAAAAGUAAAUCUAACUUCCCAUCCCCAGAAGAAAUAGACCCGGGUUAGAAACACCGGGCUUUACACCUUUUCCUCCGCGGGUUGGGAGGCCUCUUUGAAAGAAAGAGGAUUGCCUCCCUCACCCCACCCCAGUCCUCUCUUCUCUCCUUUUCUACACUCAAACAGGAAAAGCUAACCAUCACAGGAGCCUCUCCACUUCUGUGGAAACGUUCCUUUCCAAACGGCAUGGACUUUUGGACACUUCCACACUAAGACAACUACUUCAGCCAGAACGUGGGACAGGCGCUCACAGGAUGUCACCCUUGAGGAUAAAUACUCGCUAGUUUCCGGUGAACGGUGGAAAAGGAAGCGGCUGGGUCCACAAGCUGCUGGAGCAUGGUGAUGAAUCUGCGUGGGUCAGCUUCUGAGGGCACAGAGCCAGCACAGAAGGAUGGAGAAUGAAUCUCGGGGAGACAAAUGGAGAAUAAUCAGCAUGCAACUAUUAUUAUUUACAAAUAAGAUUAUCUGAGAACCCUGCCUGCAAACAUCUUUUUGAUGCACAAUUCCAGCUGGAAGUAAAAACUUAACAAGCUUUGUAAACCUGAGCAUCCAAGAUUUUAAGAGUCAUCUCUCAAAGUGCUUUGGCUGAAAAACUCCUGCUAGCACUCAGGAAAGAUUUCCAGAGGUCUUGGCAGAUUUUGCAAGCCAAGACCUGGAAGAAUUUGAGAGUAUACCUUCUUGACUUCCUUUGGUCAUCCCCUGAUCUCUCAUCAUUUUGUGGCUUCCUGUGUCAGAAUCAGUCUUGCUAGGCCUGGUUAGUCACUUGCUGACUGUUGGUGUCAAGGAAGCCAGCCAUGCUUCAGCAAAAGGUGACUAGCUCAUAACAAAUCAACCCUAUAGCAACAGGAAGUCUUCCUAAUGCCUUCCCUUGAGUUCAGAGUCUGUGUGGACUUCAGAUUGAGGGAACUUUUCCUCUUUCCAACUUUCCCUAUCCUUUCCUCCUGAACCUGAACUAACCCAUAGACAAAAUGAUGAGAGAGGAUAGUGAUGGAGAAGCAUGUUCUCUUCCCUAAUUUGAGAUAAAAAUUAUAACUGGUAUCAGAGUCUUGAAUGUUCAUUCUGGAUAACAGCACAAACAAAAGCCUCAUUUCAGAAUCUCCUAGAAACUGAGUUUGAAAAUUUGAG